GGUUAUAUAACAAAACGAUGAACUCAGGCUCGCAUCAUGAAACAGGAAACCUAAGUAACCGGUCUCUAUUUCUCAGCAGCAGCCUCUUUCUCAUACACAUCAAUAGCAUAUUUCCAAUUGAUAACCUUCCAAAUGUUGUUCAAAUAGUCCGGCCUCACAUUUUUGUACUGCAGGUAGUAUGCAUGCUCCCAAACAUCUAUGCCAAGCAAAGGAACUAAACUCACUCCCUUAGUCACCAGUGGAUCCUGAUUCGCAGUGGUUUCAACUUUAAUUUUCUUUGUCUCCUUAUCCAGAGCGAGCCACACCCAUCCAGAUCCUUGUAAAGCAGCACCUUCUGCACUCAUCUUCUUUACAAGUGCCUCAAAUGAACCAAAAUCCUCAUCAAUGGCCCAGCCAAGUUUUGCAUGUGGUGGAUCACCACCACCCUCGCUGAUAGGCUUGAGGUUAUUCCAGAAGAUCGAAUGAUUGACAUGGCCUCCGCCGUUGAACUUGAUGGCGCUCUGGAGGUGCACGAUG
RNAcentral lists this unclassified non-coding RNA (516 nucleotides) under Hevea brasiliensis (rubber tree). The record is from RNAcentral. Lineage: Eukaryota; Viridiplantae; Streptophyta; Magnoliopsida; Malpighiales; Euphorbiaceae.